This 1736-nucleotide ribosomal RNA is filed under the name Staphylococcus aureus. RNAcentral describes it as "partial 23S ribosomal RNA". It matches the Rfam family "Bacterial large subunit ribosomal RNA", at positions 1165 to 2904 of the family's 2925-position model. Lineage: Bacteria; Bacillati; Bacillota; Bacilli; Caryophanales; Staphylococcaceae. The record is from RNAcentral.
CGAAAAUGUACCGGGGCUAAACAUAUUACCGAAGCUGUGGAUUGUCCUUUGGACAAUGGUAGGAGAGCGUUCUAAGGGCGUUGAAGCAUGAUCGUAAGGACAUGUGGAGCGCUUAGAAGUGAGAAUGCCGGUGUGAGUAGCGAAAGACGGGUGAGAAUCCCGUCCACCGAUUGACUAAGGUUUCCAGAGGAAGGCUCGUCCGCUCUGGGUUAGUCGGGUCCUAAGCUGAGGCCGACAGGCGUAGGCGAUGGAUAACAGGUUGAUAUUCCUGUACCACCUAUAAUCGUUUUAAUCGAUGGGGGGACGCAGUAGGAUAGGCGAAGCGUGCGAUUGGAUUGCACGUCUAAGCAGUAAGGCUGAGUAUUAGGCAAAUCCGGUACUCAUUAAGGCUGAGCUGUGAUGGGGAGAAGACAUUGUGUCUUCGAGUCGUUGAUUUCACACUGCCGAGAAAAGCCUCUAGAUAGAAAAUAGGUGCCCGUACCGCAAACCGACACAGGUAGUCAAGAUGAGAAUUCUAAGGUGAGCGAGCGAACUCUCGUUAAGGAACUCGGCAAAAUGACCCCGUAACUUCGGGAGAAGGGGUGCUCUUUAGGGUUAACGCCCAGAAGAGCCGCAGUGAAUAGGCCCAAGCGACUGUUUAUCAAAAACACAGGUCUCUGCUAAACCGUAAGGUGAUGUAUAGGGGCUGACGCCUGCCCGGUGCUGGAAGGUUAAGAGGAGUGGUUAGCUUCUGCGAAGCUACGAAUCGAAGCCCCAGUAAACGGCGGCCGUAACUAUAACGGUCCUAAGGUAGCGAAAUUCCUUGUCGGGUAAGUUCCGACCCGCACGAAAGGCGUAACGAUUUGGGCACUGUCUCAACGAGAGACUCGGUGAAAUCAUAGUACCUGUGAAGAUGCAGGUUACCCGCGACAGGACGGAAAGACCCCGUGGAGCUUUACUGUAGCCUGAUAUUGAAAUUCGGCACAGCUUGUACAGGAUAGGUAGGAGCCUUUGAAACGUGAGCGCUAGCUUACGUGGAGGCGCUGGUGGGAUACUACCCUAGCUGUGUUGGCUUUCUAACCCGCACCACUUAUCGUGGUGGGAGACAGUGUCAGGCGGGCAGUUUGACUGGGGCGGUCGCCUCCUAAAAGGUAACGGAGGCGCUCAAAGGUUCCCUCAGAAUGGUUGGAAAUCAUUCAUAGAGUGUAAAGGCAUAAGGGAGCUUGACUGCGAGACCUACAAGUCGAGCAGGGUCGAAAGACGGACUUAGUGAUCCGGUGGUUCCGCAUGGAAGGGCCAUCGCUCAACGGAUAAAAGCUACCCCGGGGAUAACAGGCUUAUCUCCCCCAAGAGUUCACAUCGACGGGGAGGUUUGGCACCUCGAUGUCGGCUCAUCGCAUCCUGGGGCUGUAGUCGGUCCCAAGGGUUGGGCUGUUCGCCCAUUAAAGCGGUACGCGAGCUGGGUUCAGAACGUCGUGAGACAGUUCGGUCCCUAUCCGUCGUGGGCGUAGGAAAUUUGAGAGGAGCUGUCCUUAGUACGAGAGGACCGGGAUGGACAUACCUCUGGUGUACCAGUUGUCGUGCCAACGGCAUAGCUGGGUAGCUAUGUGUGGACGGGAUAAGUGCUGAAAGCAUCUAAGCAUGAAGCCCCCCUCAAGAUGAGAUUUCCCAACUUCGGUUAUAAGAUCCCUCAAAGAUGAUGAGGUUAAUAGGUUCGAGGUGGAAGCAUGGUGACAUGUGGAGCUGACGAAUACUAA